This 253-nucleotide ribosomal RNA is filed under the name uncultured bacterium. Its description in RNAcentral is "partial 16S ribosomal RNA". It matches the Rfam family "Bacterial small subunit ribosomal RNA", at positions 524 to 776 of the family's 1533-position model. The record is from RNAcentral.
UACGGAGGGUGCGAGCGUUGUCCGGAAUCGCUGGGCGGAAAGGGCGCGUAGGUGGCGCGAGUAGUCCACGGUGAAAGCCCGGGGCUCAACCCCGGGUCGGCCGUCGAUACUCUCGUGCUUGAGCACUGUAGAGGCAGGUGGAAUUCCGGGUGUAGCGGUGGAAUGCGUAGAGAUCCGGAAGAACACCGGUGGCGAAGGCGGCCUGCUGGGCAGUAGCUGACACUGAGGCGCGACAGCGUGGGGAGCAAACAGG